UAAUGCCACACACGUGGCCCUAAAAAGAAAGAAAAGAAAAGUGUAUGCAGUAUACAAAUUACAAUAGUGUAGCAUGGAUUUUGAGCACAACCAGUUUUCUCCUCAUUUAUUAAGUACUGGUAGGGAAGCAGGAAAGGAUUAAAUUGUGGUAUUUAAUACCUGGAAGCUCUCCUGGAGUUCAAACACCAGUCUCCUCUGCAGUGUUUGGACAAGGUCUUUCCACAGAGGCCUGAAUGCUCAGUAUUGGAAUAGCACGCUGUUGUCUCCCAGGGCAGGUGAUUCUAGGUUUAUAAUAGGUUCUUCCUUUUCUUCAGUAGAUAGUUUCCCACUUGUAAUCUUCCUUCCAGUUUUACCAUAUGCUAUAACUUGAGACUUUAGAGGGAGGUCAAAUCCUCACUUUUUACAACAGUUCCUCAUAUGUUUUGAGAUAAGUUACUGUGUCCUUCGUGUUUCCCGGGUUAAGCAUCUCCUGGUACUUGGAGUUGCUUCUCAACUUUAAUCUCUGUCCGUUCUGCUUAUUCUUGUUUCUAGAGUGUUUUUUUCUAAUCCCUCUCCACGCAUGGCACCUGGCAUUCCUGCGUUGCCUGUAGUACGGUGGCUAUGCUCCAACCAGACUGGAGGUGGCUUUAGCUUCCAUUUUGUAGGUACCAUACUUGUGUUGAUAGGAACCAAUACAAGGAUUCUCUGCUUUUUUUUUUUUCUUUUUUAGAUAACAUAAACCUUUAUUUUUUACAAUAGUUUUAGAUUGUAAAGUUGAAAGUACAGAGUUCUCAUGUAUUGUCUAAGCGAUUUCUCUUAUUGUAAACAUUUUAUGUUAUUGUGACACAUACAGCACAAUUAAUGACCCGGCACUGGUACAUUGCUUUAACUAAACUCUGUAUGUCAUUUGGAUUUCCUUAGUUUUUAGGGAAAAUGUCUUUUUUUCUGUUCCGGGAUCCUAUCCAGAAUACACAUUUACAUUUAGUUGUCAUGUCUCAUUAGGUUCUCCUGGAUUGUAACAGCUUCUCAGAGUUUCCUUGUUUUCUGUGACCUUGAAAGUCAGGUGUUUUGUAGAACAUCCCUCAGUUUGUGUUUUUCUUAGGGCUGGACUGGGGUUAUGGGUUUUGGGGGAGGAAGAUCCCAAAGGUGAAGUGUCAUUCUUAUCACAUCAUGUCAAGGGCACAUGCUGUCAACAUGACUUAUCACUGAUGACAUUAACCUUGAUCACCUGGCUCAGGUUUCCCAUUGUAAAUUUACUUUUUUUCUCCCUCUCCAUCCUGUGGUCUUCAGAGCCCACAGUUAAGAGGUGAGGAGUUAAACUCCACCUCCUUUAGGUGGAGUAUGUAUACUGAUUAUAUGAAAUUCUAUGUAGGAGAUUUGUCGCUUUUUCCCAUUUAUUUAUCUAUUCAGUCAUUUAUUUAUGUCAGUGUGAACUCAUGGAUAGUUAUUUGAUACUUUGGAUUAUAAUCCAAUAGUAUGUUGUUUUUAUGCAUUGCUCCCUUUGGCCCUUUUCAGGUUGGCUUCUAUGUGUCUUUGAUACACACCCAUCAUUUUAUUUUUUUUCUGUGCUCUAAAAAUCUGUGCUGCUGCUAACAUGUGAAUCUCCAAUCUUAAAUUGUGCUAAUAUUUUUGGGGAGAUUGUGGGCAUAAAAACAGGUCUUAAGAUUAUCCUUAUUACAUUUCAUCUUCCUAAGAAGAUGUCUCCCCUUAGCAUCAUUUCUUGCCAAUGAUAGCAAUAACCUGGCCCUUGAACUUCCCUCUGACCUCCCUCGUCUGUACUACAUGUGAUUUUUUCAACAGCAGUCAGAGUGAUCUUUCUAAACAAGACAGUCAUGUUGCUCUUCCCCGUAUCAAUAUAUAAUUACAUGAUCUGAUUCUUGAUUAUCUCUCUGAUCUCCACUCUCAACUGUUACUUCUCUCACUCAGUAUAUUUGAGCUACAUGACUAUCCUGUCUGUUCCUUAGAAAUGUCAAGUUUGUCCAUAUGAGGCUUUUCCAACAUUGGGCCUCUCUGCCAGGAAUGUUCUUUCCUCAUACUUUCAAAUGAGUUAUUUUUCCUUACUGUUCAGAUCUUAGUUCAAAUGGCACCACGUCAAGGAGGCCUUUUUUUUCCUGAAUCGCUUCAGUCUCUCUUUAUCACAUAGCCAUGUUUUAUUUAUCUUCCAGCAAUCAUCACAGUGGAUAUUUUCUUCAUAAUUUAUUAGCUUACUUAUCUUCUGCUUCUCCCACCAUUACACUGUAACAGGUCUUAUAGCUCUUGUUCAUAGCUGUCUCUCAGUGCGUAAAGCAGUUCCUGGCACAUAGGAGGUGCUCAAUAAAUGUUUGUUAAAGGUUGAUGGCUAAAGGGCCAGUUGUUUCUUCUUAGUGACACUUAUCUCUGGUGUCUCCUUAAUCCAUUAGCCCUUAUGUUGUGGUACUUUGUUCCUUCAUGUUAUUGUCUUUUGUAAGAUGGCAUUGUGUAGUUCUGAUUAAGAGCUUACAAUAAUUCUUCAGAUAACAUGUCGGGCCUGUCAUAAGGAAUGUUCUCCUUGGGAAAUCAAGCUAACCCUCUUCCCAUUAACACUUGCUUCUACCCUGGAAACCCAGGUCCUCCCUGGGACCCAAUUCCUUUGCAGAUCACCAGGCCAAGGUCGGAGAGAUAGAGGCAGAAUGUGGAGCCACCAAAACUUUUUUCUAAAUAAUAUCAGUUAAGGUAGAAGUUCUCUCUCGAUGUAGUUCAAAUUUUAUAACCUUAGCUAUUUAUUUUAUUAUCCAGCUUAUAUCUCUGUCUUGACCUUAACAAAAUCAGCAGGAAGUCAGUAUCUUAACUGAAGCCAGAUUUAUUAUAUCUGAUGUAUUUUUUGUGUGGUAUUUACCACUUUAACCCAUUCUGACUCCUUAUGAUCCCUAUUUCCUAGUCUUAAUGCUCAAAACCCAUCUCUUUAAUAAUCUGAGAGUCUCUCUUUGGAUCUACACAAAACUCAGUAGUAUGUUGCUAUGAGAUUUGCUUUUUCCUUUUGCUACUUUGUUUUUACUCUCCUUGAACUCAUAUACGAUUACGUAUUUAAAAAAGAUUGAACAAGCUUUUCCAGCAAGCACAGUGUUUUACCGUGCUUAGGAGUAAAUUAAUUAGGUAUGUCUGCUACUAUUCUGAUUUGGCCACCAUAUAGCCUCCAUGGGCUGUGUGGCACUUUACAGUCACUAUAAAAUGACAAUUCCUCACUUAAGUCAGUGAUUCAUAAUUGUUUUAACUAAACUUAAAGAUAAGCACUUCAUAAUAGGGUGAGCACUGCUAUGGGCUAGCUCCACGGACUAAUGUUGGUUUCUAAAGCAACAUUCUACUGUAAAAUCAGUUACUGUUUUCAAUCCCAGUUCUUUCAGAUGGUAUGAAAUAUUUAUUAUUGCUGUGAUCUCCCUUCAGCUGAGGCAGUGCCCAGAGAGGGGCACAGCUGUGAGCUGUUUGUCUUCAAUACUGCUGGCAGCUGGGGCAGUGAGCUCUUCAGCACUGAAGGGAAGAUCAGUUGUGUGGACAGUACACAACAGCACUUCCUACAGGUGAAUUCAGAUAGAUUUCAUAUUCCAUUCCUAGCUUCCUAUUCUUAUGCCAUUUGCAUUCACCCUCAAAUUACACUUCUGUUUUUGCUUGAGGCAAUGUAUCUUCUCUGAGUAUCUCCUUCUUUAGUUUCCUCAUCUGUAGAGUGGGAUAGUUAUACACACAAAUGCUCACAUGCACACACACACACACACAUGCACACACACAAAUACACUGGCUUGACAUAUAGUUGAAAGCUUAAUGGAUGUUAGUUUCUUCUAGUCAGACUUUCGAAAUGCAUCUUUAACUGGGCUAAGGCCAUAACAAUUAGUUUAUAUAGACCUCUGUUCCUCUCUUUGAAACAGAAUAGUUCCCUUUUCUUGCAUCUUGUAGGCAUUUCAAGAAGGAUGUAGCAUUGAAAUAUAAAAUGUGUUUAGAGAACUUUCAAAAAUCAGCAACCUCCAACCAGCGCUAGCUCAACCCCUCCUGUCAACUUCGUAAGCUUCCUUGUUAAAUACCUGUUAGAAAACUUCAGGUUUUUGGAAGCUUCUCAAACUUCUAAAUAUUAGCAUUUAAUGGAUUAAUAAUAAAAAGAUUUACUGACCAAUCCUAUAUUCAUAGUUGACAGGAAAGCAGGGCAUUUUUGCUGCUAUUUUAGGUAGCCUUAUACUAGAAUGGGUGUUUAAAAAGCUGCUUUUCCUUGCUCUUUCAAAACAUUUUUUCCUGCAAAAGAAACUCAAGUCUCAACCUGUUCCAUUGAUAAUGCACAAUAAUGUAUGAUUCAAGUUAAUACUGAUUAUUGUGCAGCUUGGCCUACCAGGAGAUACUACCGUUCCUUCAGCUAACCAGUCUCAGUGCUUCUUUAUCAGACAUCUCUAAAACAGUGACGACUCAUUCUAGCAUCUUACAUGUGGGGAACAAAACAAACAGAUACUUGACUGAUGUCAACAACGCAUGUCCUUUUUUUUUCUUUGUAGGCACCUGGUUUAUGUAAAGAAGUAAACUGUCUAAGAUAUGACAAUCAAAUUGGUUUGGUGUGCCAACAGUUUGCAUUUAUUGGCUGGUACCAUGAAUUCAAUCAGUGAUUUUCAACAGGGUUUGAUGGAAAUCACUGAAUUCAUGUGGCAUCUUAGGUGUUUGUUAUUGAAAGAGACUGAAGUCAUGGUAACCACGUUACAGUCACCUCAUUUUUCAGUCUUUACUUCCUGGGCCCAUCUUAUCAUUUUAGGUUUACAAGGGGUUUUAAAAAAAUACUGUAAAGUGUUCACAUUUUGAAAACUUAACUAUUUCUGAAAAGAAGUGGUUGGCAUAUGAUGUCUUAGAUCAAUGUCAGGGUGUAGAAAACUUCCGUGUCUUCCUAUCUCCAUCAGAAUAAGAGCUAAUGUCCUUACAGUGUCUGUGAUGGCUGAUUUUUCUGGUUCCCUGGUUACUUCUUUAACACAUGAUAAACUCUUCCACCUCUGGCUCUCUCCCCACCAGCCACAAAAGCUUCCUCCAUAUUUGUCUAAGCUACUGGGGCAACUCCCACCUUUGAAUUUGCUCAUUUCUCACACACACCUCAGCUAAAUCAGUGAGUUGCUCUCUUACCUCCUUCAGGUCUGAUCACAUGUGACUUUCUCAUGACUGUCUCCCCUAACAACUUUUAAACUUUACUGCAACAGACUUCCUUUCGGAACAUCAUCUUUUUCCUUUGCUUUAUUUUUCUACCUGGAAUUUACUGUCCUCUGAUAUAUCGAGUGUUUAUUUGUUGUGUUUAUUGUCUCUUCUGCUCACAUGAAUGUAAUGUUCAUGGCUACAGGAAGUUUUGUGUGUUCUGUCCACCCCCGAGUUGCUAGUGCCUAAAAUAAUGCCUGCAACUAAAUAAAUUUUUUGUCAUAUGAAUGAAUUCAAGUAAGAUAAAAGCACAUAAUCUAUGUUGAAACACACCCAACAAGACGGCGAAUAUAGUCUGAACUAUGAUUGAGGUAGGACUGCAUUCUAACAGUAUAAAAAAUUUGUCUCUUUUACAAAUCUCAGCAGCUUGAAUUUUCAGAGGUACCUUUAAAAAGUGUAUAAAGUAUUCACCUUUCUCUGUUAGCUGCUUUUCUUUUCCUUCUUGCUUUGCCUGUUGUGGCAUAUAGUCCAAUUUUUCACACCUUGUUUAGACUUACUUGUUUACUGUAAUUCUACUGUUUUAAGUUUCCUACCUCCUUAAAUCCACAAAAUGCUUCUAGAAAGGAUUUCCAUGUAUUAUAUUUUGUUCAGAAAGCCUUAUCUCAGGCAGACAUAUUUGUCCAUUUUCUUUUUUAUAAAAAAAGUUUUAUAAUCAUUAUACAUGCAGAGUGUUGUUCCAAUAGACCAGGUUAGUAUCUCUCCAUGAAACCACACACAAUAAAAUAGUUUC
This 5872-nucleotide long non-coding RNA is filed under the name Sus scrofa (pig). RNAcentral's name for it is "lncRNA (ENSSSCG00000055822.1)". The record is from RNAcentral. Lineage: Eukaryota; Metazoa; Chordata; Mammalia; Artiodactyla; Suidae.